Molecule: long non-coding RNA, 1407 nt
Filed under: Oncorhynchus kisutch (coho salmon)
Lineage: Eukaryota; Metazoa; Chordata; Actinopteri; Salmoniformes; Salmonidae
Description: lncRNA (ENSOKIG00005040798.1)
Source: RNAcentral
AUGAUGAAUAGGAGGCCCAACCUGAAUGGGUCUGGAGGACCAAGGUCCAUCGGUGUUCCGCUGCUCUGUCCUUCUAACAGAGUGCUGCUGGAGAGAGAAGAGGUCAGCCAGGCCCCAGUGAUGGCCUCCUCUUUCAGGCCCUCAGCAUUCCCCUCCCUGCAUGUUGUACCUCGUGCUCCCCCUCCUGACGAAAUCAGGCCCAAGAGGCCCACAGCUGCCCACAGAAAGAGGAGAGACCUCCAGACCCUGCAUGUUGUACCUCGUGCUCCCCCUCCUGACGAAAUCAGGCCCAAGAGGCCCACAGCUGCCCACAGAAAGAGGAGAGACCUCCAGUCCCUGGUUCCUGUCCAGGAUGGAUGUCGUGAGUCUCCCGGUUGGUUUAACAGCAGCAGCUCCCAGCUACCUGCCAAAACCAACAGACGCAGGCGCAACAAGGAGCUUUCCUUCACUGAGGUUCUGAAGAACUACAAGCUUCUGCCUGAUUCCCGGCCCAACAGCCCAGAGAGCCUGUACCAGAAUGAGAUGACACCUAGAAUCCCUGUCAGCAUCACUAGACCUGAGGGGAGGCCUAGCAACCCUCGGCGCCCCACUAGAAGGCCUGUUAGCCCCGUAGGCCUGGUCCAACCUGAUGUACAGCCUUCCAGACCUGAGGGGAGGCCUAGCAACCCUCGGCGAACCACUAGACGGCCUGUUAGACCAGUGGGCCUGGUCCAGCCUGAUGUACAGCCUUCCAGACCUGAGGGGAGGCCUAGCAACCCUCUGGGCCCCACUAGACGGCCUGUUAGACCCGUGGGCCUGGUCCAGCAUGAUGUUCAGCCUUCCAGACCUGAGGGAAGGCCUAGCAACCCUCGGAACACCACUAGGAGAAAAGUUAAGCCCAGUAAUCCUGUGUGUUCCGUUAUGCUUGAGUCCCAACCUACCAGUCCUGUGAGCAUCACCACCAGCACUGUGGACAUAGUCCAGCCUGAGCUCCGUCCUACCUGCCCUCUGACCCUGGAGGAGCCGGCCCUUUCAGAGUCAUGCAGCUUCAGCAACAAUGUGUUUGUUCUCUCCAUGCCGAAAGCUGCCCAGCCAGAGGAGGCUGCCAGAGGGAGGAGCAGCCCACCCAGGGACAUCAUCAGGCCUGAGGCCUUCGUCCAGACAGGACCCCUGCUGGCCAGGAGAGCCCAGAGGGAUGCUCCUCCUCCAAAGAAGGUCCCCAAACCCCCGGUGGCCCCCCGGCCCAAACUGCUGCCCUCCCUGGGCCAGGGCAACGUGUCCCUUGUCAGUGCCAACGCCUGGGAUGAUAAGACCAAGAAGAAGAGAAAGAAAGGUCAGCACUUCUCUUUGUGCAAUGACACAUUUUCUCUAUUGAAUAUAUUGUCAAUAUUGUAUAUGUUGUUUGCUGAUGUACAACCAGGAAUAUGA